RNAcentral lists this ribosomal RNA (253 nucleotides) under uncultured bacterium. RNAcentral's name for it is "partial 16S ribosomal RNA". It matches the Rfam family "Bacterial small subunit ribosomal RNA", at positions 524 to 776 of the family's 1533-position model. The record is from RNAcentral.
UACAGAGGGUGCGAGCGUUAAUCGGAAUUACUGGGCGUAAAGCGUGCGUAGACGGUUAUCUAAGUCGGAUGUGAAAGCCCCGGGCUCAACCUGGGAAUUGCAUUCGAGACUGAAUAGCUAGGGUACGGUAGAGGGAAGUGGAAUUUCCGGUGUAGCGGUGAAAUGCGUAGAUAUCGGAAGGAACAUCAGUGGCGAAAGCGACUUCCUGGACCAGUACUGACGUUCAGGCACGAAAGCGUGGGGAGCAAACAGG